UUUUAAUCUUUUUACUUAAACACAAAGUUCACAUCUUCUAAAAGUUUCUAAAAAAACUCUAAGGUAUAUUAUAACAUUAAAUCAAAACCCUGCAACAAAUUGCACAAUAGCCUUUAAAAAAAAAAAAACAGUUUUUUGUGUGGAUAUUCUCUAAGUGAAAAGAAAAAAUAUAUAGAUAUGUACUAAAGAGCUAAACAUAACACCUUAAAAGAUACUAUCACGAUAAAAUAUCCUUUUAUAUUCGAUUUCGUGUUUCAACCAUUAGAUACUUCUUAUGAUGUAGAGGUAUAUUUUGGGAGCACCACACACCAUCUUCAUUGCAUGAGUAUAGCAUAAAUGUGUCUUCCAUUAUUCUCAUUUAAUAGUGAACCUUCAGUUUGGCUAAUACUGGUAACAUAACAGCAGAGGAGAAGAAAUAUAACUUGUUAAUCUGCAAAAUAGAGAUAGUUAGUAGAAAAUAGAGAUAGUUAGUACAUCAUUUUUUAAAUGACAUAACUUUUGCACUUAGGUCCCUGCUUGUAAUGUGAUUUAUUGUUCCUCAUUCCUGGUGUACUUUAAGUAGUAUAAUAUGCAUGUGUAUGAAACUACUCGCUCUGCCUAUAAUAUUUAGUGCAUAGAUUUUAAGCAUAUUAUAGGGUUAGACACCAAUCAAAAUGAGUGAAUUUGGCUUUUAGGUAUUUACCAGUUAACCACCCUCAAGUUUUAAGCGGAAGUAGAGCAAAAAUCUCAUAAUCAUCUAUCAGCUCAUUCCUAAAGAUAACCUUAUUUCUUUAUCCCAUAGAACCCACACAAAUACCAUCCACAUGCAGGUUCAUAUUUUAUUUUGUUUACUAUUCAAUUCCAUAAGAUCAAACGGUCUAAAGUGAUGUUAUGGAUCAUUGUGACUAACACUAGUAUUUCCUACCUAUCUAUGGCAUUGGUUCCACACACUCCAAGCUAUUUUACAUGAGAAGAACAAAUGAUUACUACUUUCAUCUGCAUUGCCACACAUAACACACAAAUUGGAGCCUCUCAAUAUACCUCUCCUACUCAAAUUGUCAUUAGUUGUUAUUCUGUUAAUAAGGACUCUCCAUGCAAAGUGUUGAGUUGAGGGUAGAGCUUUGACUUCCAAAGGAUAACAAUAAGCAGAUCUGAUCUUGUAGCUAUCACCCUCUUCAUCUUUCCAUAACAAUGUGUCAUCCCUAUCCUUACAGAUUAAUGUGUGUAAGAUCAUUGUUGAAUUUAUAUAAUUAAGGUAAUUCUCAUUUAAACUAUUCCCUUCUCCACUUCAUAUCCCAAACCUAACUAUGGUUGACCCAUUGACCAAACUCAUCAAUUGUCCAUUCUUAUCGAUGGAAUUUGCUUAUAGUAUUGGAUAGAUAACACCUAAAGGUUAUUCCAAUAUCCAUCUAUAUUCCCAAAAGUUAAUUUUAUUCCCCUUACAACACAUAAGGGUUGACACCUAUAAUUCAAGUUUUUCCAUCCUCCAUAUUUUGAUUCUAGAAUUACUUUCCAAAGUCCUUCCUCUCCCUUUGCUAAUCUCCAACUCCAUUUCCCUAAUAAUGCAAUGUAAACAUCUUCAAAUCUUUAAUACCUAGUCCUUUUUCCUCUUUUGGCUUACACAUGUUAUCCCAUUUUACCCACACCAUCUUUCUCCCUUCACUAAAAUCGCAACCAGAAUCGCGACGAGACGACGAAUAAAAAAAAAUGUUUGAAAAAGAGAUUUAGAGACGCCACCAUAGUUUAUUUUGGAAAACUAUAGAAAAACCAUAAAGAAAAACAUGGUAUGCAAUAACCAAAUUCUAGAUUCGGGACGUAAAUGACACUUUAAAGAAAAAAUAUAUAUUUUUUAGUUUUUUUAAGCCCAACAAGGAUUGACCUUACUCGUAGGUAUUCUCAUUCGGAAUAAGAAAUCAGGAUUACAUAGUUCAAAAACCUAUUUGGAUAAUUGUUUGAGAAAAUAUUUGGAAAUUUGUUUUGGAAUGAUCAUGGACAAUUUUGGAUUUUUGGAAACUGAACCUGACAAGGACCGACCUUGCUCUUACAUAUCUCCACUCUUGAUGGAGAAUCAAUGAUCAUGUAGUUUUGCUGAAAGAUUGUUUUUUUUUUAAAUGUGGAUAUUUUUUGUUUUUUGAAGAUUUUAUAUUUUUUUAGUAUUUUUGACAUGGUUGAGAAAAAGAAAGUAAUGAGUAUUAGGCUGACAUGGACGGUCACACGAAUACUCAUACCUUUGAAAUGAUAUUUAAUUAUUUUUAAAAGAGAACGAAAAGUAUUAAGUACUAGGACAAUGCAGAUGACCACUCGAGUGUUCAUAUCAUUAAAGCAUUAUUUUUGUUAUUUUUAUUUAUUUCGAAAAAAGGAAAAAAGAAAGUAAUGAACACUAGGACGGUAGGAAAGAUCACACAAGUGCUUAUACCUUUAAAACAUUAUAUUUAUUAUUUUUAUUUAUUUAAUGAAAGAAAGAUACUAGGACGGACAAUCACACAAGUGUUUAUAUCAUUUUUAGUAUUUCCUUAUUUUUAUUUUUUACUUUAUAUUUUUUCUUUUCUAUCUUUUGUUUUUUGUAAUUUUAUUUAUAUAUGAGCAAUAUUUUCAUAAAUGUCCAAAAUAAAAUUAUAAAAAUAAUUGUAUUUAUAAAAUAACAAUAAUAAUACUAUUUACAUACGCACCUUUUUUAAAGAAAAAUCUAAAUUAGAAAAUAAAUCAAUGUUGCAUUUAGUUAUUAAAAGAUAUUAAGUGUCAAAAAUAAAUUUAAAACUAUUUCUAUAAUAUAGUAACUUUACCACUUUUUUAUUUUAUAUUUUAUAUUUAAUUUUAUCUUUUAUUUUAUAAUUCUUAUUUAUUUUCAUAACAGAAUAAUGAUAUAUAUAUAUAUAUAUAUAUAUAUAUAUAUAUAUAUAUAUAUAUAUAUAUAUAUAUAUGUAAAGGUAACCUAACAAAAGAAAACAAAACCAAAAUAAAAAUAAAAGUGAGCACGAUGAUCUAGUUAACAAAGGGAAAAGCAGAAAGACAAACAAAACAGAGGUGCCAGUGGUAUCCAGGAUAAGUUUAAGUGGAAAGAAAAUAAAAACAAAGAAAAAUGAGUGAUAUUAUGUGAAUAAUGAGGGCUUCUAAACUCGCAUUUAGGUGAGGCGAGCGUGAAUAAGGAGUGAAAAAGUGAAACAGCACUGAAAUCAGCCAUACCUAACUCAAAUAUUCAUGCACAAGUAUGGUCAUGGAUAAGGCUAAUAUAAGCUACAGACACUUACCUACAAUGAACGGUCAGCCUUCUUCCUCUACCGUGAGCUUGUUUGAUUCUUUCCGAUCAGGGGAAGUCCCGAGUGCUGCCUAGGCCGCGGUAGCGAAGUGUGACCCAUGACCGUCCAAAUGUUCCCCUCUCUGCUUUUUGGAAGAUUAGGGUGAGAAGAAAAAAGGACAAACCCUCUGUACUGCCCCCAAACAAAUUCUCUCAACCGUUUUUCUCUGCAACCCCAGGCCGCUCCCAGCAAAAGGAACGAAAUCAGAAUGCGCGAAAAAACUUCCCUGUUGUUUGUCGCAUUCGUACAGGCCCUUUUUUUCUUUUUUCUUUUUUUAAAUCUUAUAUACUUAAAAGUAUUUUCUCCUCCUUUUUUGAAUUUAAAAUAUAAGAAAUAAAUAAAAAAGAAAAACAAUGCUAAUAAAUAAACAAAGACACAAUAAAAUAAAAUGAAAAUAAAAGAGUAAAAAUAAAGAUGAAAGAUAAUAAUAAUAAUAAUAAUAAAUAAGCAAAG
This 3728-nucleotide long non-coding RNA is filed under the name Vigna radiata. Its description in RNAcentral is "long non-coding RNA (VRAD_LNC004089)". Lineage: Eukaryota; Viridiplantae; Streptophyta; Magnoliopsida; Fabales; Fabaceae. The record is from RNAcentral.